Operophtera brumata (winter moth) is the source of this 73-nucleotide transfer RNA. It matches the Rfam family "tRNA". From Rfam's summary of the family: Transfer RNA (tRNA) molecules are approximately 80 nucleotides in length. Their secondary structure includes four short double-helical elements and three loops (D, anti-codon, and T loops). The record is from Rfam. Lineage: Eukaryota; Metazoa; Arthropoda; Insecta; Lepidoptera; Geometridae.
UGUUUCAUGGCCAAACUGGUCAAGGCAUCGCCGAUUAGAGGCGAAGAUGUGGGUUCGAGUCCCGCUUGAGCAA